AAAGACAGCAGCAUAUCGCAGUAAGGACCAACCUGCUCCCGUAUGACUUCUUAACUAAUUACAUCUUCAAUGACCCUAUUUCCAAAUAUGAUCCAAAAAGUACCAGGGGGUGAGGACUUCAACUUGUCUUUCUGGGGAACAUCAUGAUUCAACUUAUAACAACUAUACUCCUACUUCAGAGCAUAUUUCUGAUUAUUAUGGAAACUUGCCGUGUUCCCCGUGGGGAUAAAAAAGAAAAAAGAAACAGAUUUAAAGGCCCCAUUUCAUUAUGCAUAAUCCAGUAGCUGCAUUGUUGGAUUCCGUGGCAUUGUUGGAGAAGGUCAUCAAGAGGACACAUGAUCCACCAGUUGACUCAGGAGCUACACUUGGGCAUUCGGAGACUCCCCGCCCCCUCCCAUGUUCUUGGAAUGUGCAUUCUACCCACUGUUCCUCAUCUUUUGGUCACCCAAGAUAAGCCUUGUAAGUACAUUCCUCACUUAUUA
This 482-nucleotide long non-coding RNA is filed under the name Mustela putorius furo (domestic ferret). RNAcentral describes it as "lncRNA (ENSMPUG00000031621.1)". The record is from RNAcentral. Lineage: Eukaryota; Metazoa; Chordata; Mammalia; Carnivora; Mustelidae.